GUGGGGAAUAUUGGGCAAUGGGCGCAAGCCUGACCCAGCAACGCCGCGUGAAGGAAGAAGGCUUUCGGGUUGUAAACUUCUUUUACCAGGGACGAAACAAAUGACGGUACCUGGUGAAUAAGCCACGGCUAACUACGUGCCAGCAGCCGCGGUAAUACGUAGGUGGCGAGCGUUAUCCGGAUUUAUUGGGUGUAAAGGGCGUGUAGGCGGGACAGCAAGUCAGAUGUGAAAACCAGAGGCUCAACCUCUGGCCUGCAUUUGAAACUGUUGUUCUUGAGUGUCGGAGAGGUAAUCGGAAUUCCGUGUGUAGCGGUGAAAUGCGUAGAUAUCUGGAGGAACAUCAGUGGCGAAGGCGACUUACUGGACUGUAACUGACGCUGAGGCGCGAAAGUGUGGGGAGCAAACAGGAUUAGAUACCCGGGUAGUCC
Molecule: ribosomal RNA, 428 nt
Filed under: uncultured bacterium
Lineage: Bacteria
Description: partial 16S ribosomal RNA
Rfam family: Bacterial small subunit ribosomal RNA
Source: RNAcentral